GACAGAGGGUGCAAACGUUGCUCGGAAUCACUGGGCGUAAAGGGCGUGUAGGCGGGCAGGAAAGUCGGAUGUGAAAGCCCUGGGCUCAACCCAGGAACUGCAUUUGAAACUCCCUUUCUUGAGUGUCGGAGAGGAAAGCGGAAUUCCUGGUGUAGAGGUGAAAUUCGUAGAUAUCAAGCGGAACACCGGUGGCGAAGGCGGUUCUCUGGGCCUUACCUGACGCUGAGGAGCGAAAGCAUGGGGAGCAAACAGG
Molecule: ribosomal RNA, 253 nt
Filed under: uncultured bacterium
Lineage: Bacteria
Description: partial 16S ribosomal RNA
Rfam family: Bacterial small subunit ribosomal RNA
Source: RNAcentral